This 27-nucleotide non-coding RNA is filed under the name Bombyx mori (domestic silkworm). The record is from RNAcentral. Lineage: Eukaryota; Metazoa; Arthropoda; Insecta; Lepidoptera; Bombycidae.
UAUCGUCAGCAAAUCGAAGGUGUGUGA